AAGAACUCCAGUCCGGCGAGCACGGUUCAACUUUCUUCUCCCGUCCGGCGCGCUGCAACUCAAAGAGAAGGAGAACACGGUACUUCCGGCAACAGCGGCAAGAAAUCCCAUCUUCUCCGACGCGAUGCAACUCGAACCUGAUGAGGCCGAAUUGGACGACCGGGAACCACUUGACGGUGACGAGGAAGACGAGGAAGAUGAAGAAG
This 206-nucleotide unclassified non-coding RNA is filed under the name Hevea brasiliensis (rubber tree). The record is from RNAcentral. Lineage: Eukaryota; Viridiplantae; Streptophyta; Magnoliopsida; Malpighiales; Euphorbiaceae.